UCCCGGUUACCUCGGUUGUUAGAGCACUCAACUGGAAAUGGAGAGGUCAAUCCCUGGUUCGAUACCAGGACAAGGUG
Molecule: transfer RNA, 77 nt
Filed under: Ixodes scapularis (black-legged tick)
Lineage: Eukaryota; Metazoa; Arthropoda; Arachnida; Ixodida; Ixodidae
Description: tRNA-Ser
Source: RNAcentral